This 433-nucleotide ribosomal RNA is filed under the name uncultured bacterium. RNAcentral's name for it is "partial 16S ribosomal RNA". It matches the Rfam family "Bacterial small subunit ribosomal RNA", at positions 29 to 507 of the family's 1533-position model. The record is from RNAcentral.
AACGAACGCUGGCGGCAUGCCUAACACAUGCAAGUCGAACGAGACCUUCGGGUCUAGUGGCGCACGGGUGAGUAACGCGUGGGAACCUGCCCUUAGGUUCGGAAUAACUCCCCGAAAGGGGUGCUAAUACCGGAUAAUGUCUUCGGACCAAAGAUUUAUCGCCUUUGGAUGGGCCCGCGUUGGAUUAGCUAGUUGGUAGGGUAAAAGCCUACCAAGGCGACGAUCCAUAGCUGGUCUGAGAGGAUGAUCAGCCACACUGGGACUGAGACACGGCCCAGACUCUUCCGGGAGGCAGCAGUGGGGAAUAUUGGACGAUGGGCGAAAGCCUGAUCCAGCAAUGCCGCGUGAGUGAUGAAGGCCUUAGGGUUGUAUAGCUCUUUUACCCGGGAUGAUAAUGACAGUACCGGGAGAAUAAGCUCCGGCUAACUCCGUG